This 439-nucleotide ribosomal RNA is filed under the name uncultured bacterium. RNAcentral's name for it is "partial 16S ribosomal RNA". It matches the Rfam family "Bacterial small subunit ribosomal RNA", at positions 338 to 795 of the family's 1533-position model. The record is from RNAcentral.
CCUACGGGGGGCAGCAGUGGGGAAUAUUGCACAAUGGGGGGAACCCUGAUGCAGCGACGCCGCGUGAGGGAAGAAGUAUUUCGGUAUGUAAAGCUCUAUCAGCAGGGAAGAAAAUGACGGUACCUGACUAAGAAGCCCCGGCUAACUACGUGCCAGCAGCCGCGGUAAUACGUAGGGGGCAAGCGUUAUCCGGAUUUACUGGGUUUAAAGGGUGCGCAGGCGGUCUGUAAAGUCAGCGGUCAAAUCCCGGGGCUCAACCUCGGACCGCCGUUGAAACUGGCAGUCUUGAGUUGGGGAGAGGUAUGCGGAAUGCGCGGUGUAGCGGUGAAAUGCAUAGAGAUCGCGAAGAACUCCGAUUGCGAAGGCAGCAUGCCGGCUCCAAACUGACGCUGAGGCACGAAAGCGUGGGGAGCGAACAGGAUUAGAUACCCCUGUAGUC